RNAcentral lists this ribosomal RNA (449 nucleotides) under uncultured bacterium. RNAcentral describes it as "partial 16S ribosomal RNA". It matches the Rfam family "Bacterial small subunit ribosomal RNA", at positions 29 to 523 of the family's 1533-position model. The record is from RNAcentral.
AGCGAACGCUGGCGGCAGGCCUAACACAUGCAAGUCGAACGAAGUCUUCGGACUUAGUGGCGGACGGGUGAGUAACACGUGGGAACGUGCCUUUAGGUUCGGAAUAACUCAGGGAAACUUGUGCUAAUACCGAAUGUGCCCUUCGGGGGAAAGAUUUAUCGCCUUUAGAGCGGCCCGCGUCUGAUUAGCUAGUUGGUGAGGUACAGGCUCACCAAGGCGACGAUCAGUAGCUGGUCUGAGAGCAUGAUCAGCCACAUUGGGACUGAGACACGGCCCAAACUCCUACGGGAGGCAGCAGUGGGGAAUCUUGCGCAAUGGGCGAAAGCCUGACGCAGCCAUGCCGCGUGAAUGAUGAAGGUCUUAGGAUUGUAAAAUUCUUUCACCGGGGACGAUAAUGACGGUACCCGGAGAAGAAGCCCCGGCUAACUUCGUGCCAGCCGCCGCGGUAA